This 440-nucleotide ribosomal RNA is filed under the name uncultured bacterium. RNAcentral's name for it is "partial 16S ribosomal RNA". It matches the Rfam family "Bacterial small subunit ribosomal RNA", at positions 338 to 795 of the family's 1533-position model. The record is from RNAcentral.
CCUACGGGAGGCAGCAGUGGGGAAUAUUGCACAAUGGUGGAAACCCUGAUGCAGCGACGCCGCGUGAGUGAAGAAGUAUUUCGGUAUGUAAAGCUCUAUCAGCAGGGAAGAAAAUGACGGUACCUGAUUAAGAAGCCCCGGCUAACUACGUGCCAGCAGCCGCGGUAAUACGUAGGGGGCAAGCGUUAUCCGGAUUUACUGGGUGUAAAGGGGGCGUAGACGGCAGCACAAGUCUGGAGUGAAAUGCCGGGGCUUAACCCCGGAACUGCUUUGGAAACUGUGCAGCUAGAGUGCAGGAGAGGUAAGGGGAAUUCCUAGUGGAGCGGUGAAAUGCGUAGAUAUUAGGAGGAACACCAGUGGCGAAGGCGGCUUACUGGAUUGUAACUGACGUUGAGGCUCGAAAGCGUGGGGAGCAAACAGGAUUAGAUACCCGAGUAGUC